GGUUAAGCUACUAAGAGCACACGGAGGAUGCCUAGGCGCUAGGAGCCGAAGAAGGACGUGGCGAACAACGAUACUGCCUCGGGGAGCUGUAAGCAAGCUUCGAUCCGGGGAUGUCCGAAUGGGGAAACCCAGCUAGUGUAAUAGCUAGUUACCCGUAUCUGAAUACAUAGGAUGCGAGGAGGCAUACCCAGGGAACUGAAACAUCUAAGUACCUGGAGGAAGAGAAAACAAGAGUGAUUCCGUCAGUAGCGGCGAGCGAACGCGGAACAGCCUAAACCAGAGAGCUUGCUCUCUGGGGUUGUGGGACGUCUCACAUGGAGUUACAAAGGAAUGUAUUAGGCGAAGAGGUCUGGAAAGGCCCGCUAUAAGAGGUAAAAGCCCUGUAGCCGAAAGUAUAUUCCCUCCGAGACGGAUCCCGAGUAGUGCGGGGCACGUGAAACCCCGUAUGAAUCCAGCAGGACCAUCUGCUAAGGCUAAAUACUCCCUAGCGACCGAUAGUGAAGCAGUACCGUGAGGGAAAGGUGAAAAGCACCCCGGAAGGGGAGUGAAAUAGAACCUGAAACCGUGUGCUUACAAGAAGUCAGAGCCCUAUUUAUGGGUGAUGGCGUGCCUUUUGUAGAAUGAACCGGCGAGUUACGUUCCCAUGCAAGGUUAAGGCGAGAAGCCGUAGCCGCAGCGAAAGCGAGUCUGAAUAGGGCGACUUAGUAUGUGGGCGUAGACCCGAAACCGUGUGAUCUACCCCUGUCCAGGGUGAAGGUGCGGUAACACGCACUGGAGGCCCGAACCCACGUAUGUUGAAAAAUGCGGGGAUGAGGUGGGGGUAGCGGAGAAAUUCCAAUCGAACUCGGAGAUAGCUGGUUCUCCCCGAAAUAGCUUUAGGGCUAGCCUCGGAAUGAAGAGUCGUGGAGGUAGAGCACUGAUUGGGUGCGGGGCCCGCAAGGGUUACCAAGCUCAGUCAAACUCCGAAUGCCAUAGACUUAUAUCCGGGAGUCAGACAGUGAGUGCUAAGAUCCAUUGUCAAAAGGGAAACAGCCCAGACCAUCAGCUAAGGUCCCCAAGUGUGUGUUAAGUGGGAAAGGAUGUGGAGUUGCACAGACAACCAGGAUGUUGGCUUAGAAGCAGCCACCAUUUAAAGAGUGCGUAAUAGCUCACUGGUCGAGUGACUCUGCGCCGAAAAUGUAACGGGGCUAAACACACCACCGAAGCUAUGGCUUGAUGCGUAUGCAUCAGGGGUAGGGGAGCGUUGUAUGUAGGUUGAAGGUGUACCGUAAGGAGCGCUGGACAGCAUACAAGUGAGAAUGCCGGUAUGAGUAACGAAAAGAUCAGUGAGAAUCUGAUCCGCCGAAAGCCCAAGGUUUCCUGAGGAAGGCUCGUCCGCUCAGGGUAAGUCGGGACCUAAGGUGAGGCCGAAAGGCGUAAUCGAAGGACAACAGGUUGAAAUUCCUGUACCACCGUAAACCGUUAUGAACGAUGGGGUGACGCAGGAGGGUAGUGACGCGGACUGAUGGAUGUCCGUCCAAGCAGUGAGGCUGAUGUGUAGGCAAAUCCGCACAUCGUAAGGCUGGGCUGUGAUGGGGAGUGAAAAUUAUAGUAGCGAAGGUCAUGAUCUCACACUGCCAAGAAAAGCCUCUAGUCAGGUGAAGGUGCCCGUACCGCAAACCGACACAGGUAGGCGAGAAGAGAAUUCUAAGGCGCGCGGAAGAACUCUCGUUAAGGAACUCGGCAAAAUGACCCCGUAACUUCGGGAGAAGGGGUGCCUCGGUAGGGUGAAUAGCCCGAGGGGGCCGCAGUGAAAAGGCCCAAGCGACUGUUUAGCAAAAACACAGGUCUGUGCGAAGCCGUAAGGCGAAGUAUACGGGCUGACGCCUGCCCGGUGCUGGAAGGUUAAGGGGAGCGGUUAGGAGCAAUCCGAAGCUGUGAACCGAAGCCCCAGUAAACGGCGGCCGUAACUAUAACGGUCCUAAGGUAGCGAAAUUCCUUGUCAGGUAAAUUCUGACCCGCACGAAUGGCGUAACGACUUGGGCGCUGUCUCAACGAGAGAUCCGGUGAAAUUUUAAUACCUGUGAAGAUGCAGGUUACCCGCGACAAGACGGAAAGACCCCAUGGAGCUUUACUGCAGCUUGAUAUUGGAUUUGGGUACGAUCUGUACAGGAUAGGUGGGAGCCUUUGAAGCAUGAGCGCCAGCUUGUGUGGAGGCGACGUUGGGAUACCACCCUGAUCGUAUCUAGGUUCUAACCUGGUACCGUGAUCCGGUACGGGGACAGUGUCAGGCGGGCAGUUUGACUGGGGCGGUCGCCUCCUAAAGAGUAACGGAGGCGCCCCAAGGUUCCCUCAGAAUGGUUGGAAAUCAUUCGAAGAGUGCAAAGGCAUAAGGGAGCUUGACUGCGAGACCUACAAGUCGAGCAGGGACGAAAGUCGGGCUUAGUGAUCCGGUGGUACCGCAUGGAAGGGCCAUCGCUCAACGGAUAAAAGCUACCCUGGGGAUAACAGGCUUAUCUCCCCCAAGAGUCCACAUCGACGGGGAGGUUUGGCACCUCGAUGUCGGCUCAUCGCAUCCUGGGGCUGAAGUAGGUCCCAAGGGUUGGGCUGUUCGCCCAUUAAAGCGGUACGCGAGCUGGGUUCAGAACGUCGUGAGACAGUUCGGUCCCUAUCUGUCGUGGGCGUAGGAAAUUUGAGAGGAGCUGUCCUUAGUACGAGAGGACCGGGAUGGACGUACCGCUGGUGCACCAGUUGUUCCGCCAGGAGCAUGGCUGGGUAGCUACGUACGGACGGGAUAAGCGCUGAAAGCAUCUAAGCGUGAAGCCCCCCUCAAGAUGAGAUUUCCCAAUUCGUAAGACCCCUUGAAGACGACGAGGUAGAUAGGUUGGAGGUGGAAGUGCAGCAAUGCAUGGAGCUGACCAAUACUAAUCGGUCGAGGGCUUAUCCAA
Non-coding RNA from Paenibacillus sp. Y412MC10, 2927 nucleotides. The record is from Rfam. Lineage: Bacteria; Bacillati; Bacillota; Bacilli; Caryophanales; Paenibacillaceae.